Molecule: long non-coding RNA, 4869 nt
Organism: Gallus gallus (chicken)
Lineage: Eukaryota; Metazoa; Chordata; Aves; Galliformes; Phasianidae
Source: Ensembl
UUUAAAAGGGUCAGGAAUACACAGCAGGUCACUAUUCUACAAGAACUAUCUGGCAACGUGAAGAGCAAACUUGGAGCAGAUUAGUACAGCACCCAGCGUUGACCCAAGAAGGUGUACCCAGAACCACAUCUCAGCUCUGGGCAGUUCUGACCAUCUUCAGAUACCAAAGAGCCUCAGAAAUAACAACAUACCAGAAAGUCCUCGGCACAUGGAUUUUGGGGCAUAAAGAGAAUGUAAGAUCUGCCAUCUAAAUAAAAGUCUCCCCCAGCCGUACCACACUAUGAGGAUUUCAGCCAGAUGCUGCUGCUUCUUGGACUGUGGGGCUGGAACUGCAAAGUAGUUGAAUCAAGAGAGUGGCCAUACAGAAGGAAGUUGUGGAGGAAUAUGGAAAAGAUCUGUCUGCAUCACAGCACUCGGUUCAUCUCCUUGGCAGGGGCCUUUCUAUCAGCAGCAGCGCCUAAUCAUUAAACAGAUGGGCUGAAAAACCACUUUGCAAUAUAGAUGGGCUGAGAAGAGAAGCAUAGUUUUAAAUCCACGUAUAGGCUGUUCAUUGACAGAGUUUUUCCAGAGGGCUGUCUUUCCUGGGGUCCAGCUGACCACAUGGCACAAAGAGGUCCGUCCAAUAACAGUGGGAUCCCUGCCCAUGCCUGAUGUGCACAUCUCCUGAAAAGCUUAAGCAGGCAUCACGAGAUGCUCCUCCCCAACUGAAGGUGGCAGUGAGGGACGUCUGCCUUUCUCAUGGUGUCACACAGUGAGGUUGGGACACUUUGCCAAUGCAAGUGCAUCUACACCAGGGUGUUUUUGCCCACUGAGUAGCCCACUGGCUACGGUUUCAAUUUUUUCAUGCAUCCAACUGGCAGAGGAAAAAAAAAAAACAGAAGUCUAUCUAGUGCCCAACAUCACACUUGCUGAAUUUUUCUUUCUUUUCCCUAUCAGAUCCUUGUUUCACUGUUUUAUUUAUAGUACGUUCCAGGCCACGAUCAAGUGCUCUGUUUUGUAAGAUGUGGGCAAAAAGACAACAAAAACCCCUUCGGGAACCUGAAGCAAAGCUGUCCCUGCUUACUGUGGAAAGACAAGGCCCAAGAGGAUGUGGUGACUGAAGGUCUUGACAGCAAAAUAUCCCUGAACUCCUGCACCUACAAAGCCCUUUUCCUUGGAGCGGUCCUGGAGCAUUCUCAUCUCCCAGGAAUGCAACGCCCUUCUUAGAAGCACAAGAUGGAUAAGCCAUUGGGAGCACGCUGCUUGGGAGAACACUGAGACUGGGGAGUUCUCAAUGGGAUCGGGAGAGCCAUAGUUUCACAAAGAGGUUAUUCACCCAUUUGUUGUGGUUAUUGAUUUCUUAAAAAUCAGGGUCUAUUUUUUAUCCUGGUCCUCCAGCUUCCCAGCUGUGUUUCAGCUCGGUGUUCUUUCUGAUCAUCCAGUCACCUCCACGUGCUCCUGCAGGAACGGCCGUGCAGGACAUGCAGGACUGCGCUAGUCCUUCACUUGCUGCAUCUCACCUCUAGUGGUGGCUUGAAGGCAUGAGUGCUUCCAGUGGAAACACACAAGUCAAACACUUAGGAAACAGCCAGGCCAUCUGGUAUUUUUGUCACUCCUACUGACACUUAGUGUUGCGUGGGUGCCUGAGUGCAGGAUCUGAAGUGUUUCUUGCCUGAUUUUCAUUUGUGUAGUAUGCAGGAUCAGCUGAUGUUUGUCUUCAUGUGAUUCGCCUUUGAUCCUUCUUUGAGCCCUACUAAGUAACCCUCAUUAUGUGUCAAGUGACUGUGACUAUGACUGUAGGAAUGCACCAUCCGAACACACGAGAAUGAAGUUUCUGGCUCCUCUGAUUGUCAAACAGAGGGGAAAACAAAGUGGCUGAUUUUCCUUCCUUUACAUAACUACUCUAUGUGGACACUAAACUGAGAUCUGGGGCAAGAGCUGAGCUGCCUCAUGCAUCCACUUCCAUUAAAAGAGUUGCUGGUACCUAACAGAGGUGGAGAUCCAAAGUGCCCCUAGGGAAAGCACUUGUAUUUCAUAUUGCUUGUAUUUCAUUAGAGAUGAAGAUUAAUUCAGCUACUCUAUCUAUUCAUUUAAUUGUGUGUAACUUGGGGCCAUCAAAUCAGACCUCCCAGAAGACCUGAGUGAAGCCUUCACUCUCAGAAGAAAACACAUGAUGUGAGAUCAUCUCCUCUACGAGGUGACAAAGCUCAGGUGCUGUUUACUACUGAACGGGGUACUCAAAGAUUUGCUAGGUGUAUCAGCAAAGCAUGAGCUCAACAUGACCAAACCUGCAGGAGGGGAUACCUUAUCACUGGGGAGUGUGCCAAAGGCUGGAGAAGUCUGAAACAAGAGCAGACGCUGUAGGACUGCUCGGGGACGUGGUAGAAAAGGCACUGCAGAAGUCCAAUGGAAGUGUGUACCUUUUCCCCCAAUAAACACAGAUGUUAUCAUGCGCUCAAACCAUCUUAGGGAGAAAAUGGGGGCAUUUCCCACGCACAAAAGGAAUGGAGAUAAAUGAACUAUUUACAGGGUGCAGGUUGCCUAGAAAGCAGGCUCCCAUUCUACAAAAGGAAAAACCUCUUUUGUUUGAACUCCAUGCGAUAUCAAGUAGGACGAAGCACUGGGACAUGAGUUACAAACAAGAUAGCUGUUGCUAUUCAUUCUGUUUGCUCGGAGAGGCAAUCCCACGCAGCAGCAUCCAGAACGUGGUGUCUGCCAGUCAAAUUAUGAUGAGAAGAGCCAGAGUUUACCGCUUCAGCACGAGCUGAACAGUGUCCUCUUCCACCAGUGACUCUGCUUCCAGUUCUCCUUGUUUGCUGGUGAACUUCUGGAUAGUAAUGUUGACCUUCAGCUGUUGUCUGGAAGCUUUUCCUCUGUUUCAAGCAAGUGAUUUGAAUUCUUUCUAACUUCCGAUCUACAAGAAUAGGAUUCCUAAAAUUUUACGGAGCUGUUGUGAAGAUUGUUGAUGUGCAUGAGAUGCUCGUGUUGGGACUGUGGGCCAAGGAAGCGUCCCAAGUCUGUUCUCAGGGGAAGAGAAACAACAUUCUUCGAUUCUGAAGAAGCAUUACUGCGAAUACACAGUGAAGUGAAGAGGUCAAUAUACCCAUCUAACGAAUUUCCUACAAAUGUUGGUGAACAGCAGGUAGCUUUGCAGAAACAGAAGCCAGUUCAUAGGCAAGAAGACAGCAGAUGAAACAGAUGCAAUGAAUUCUGAAAUAUCAACAGGAAGGGAAGAACAACAGCAGGUCCCAAAGUCGCGACUGUGGCCACAACCAUGAGCCUUGACCUCAAGGAGCCAAGGGCCGCCUGCCUCCCACCCUCUGCUCCUUCCUCCAUUUUGGGGAUGUAACCAUUCACACACACUGUGCUCCUCAGGCAGGACUGCGCCUGACCAUGAUUACCCCGAGACCUCAUUCUCCCACCCCAUGGUGCUAUUUCCCUGCUAGGCACCUUCAGUCUGCAACACAGGCUUCUGCCCAGUGUGAUUUUAUAAGAGUCAGCCACUACGCUUCAGCAGACUUUGGUUGCCUCUGAGUUCACAGCUAUAAAUAGGGGCUUUCAUAAGGUGGUGCCCACAGAAGUUCUGGCACAAACAGUUUUUAACAUUUUGAAUGAGUGGGGCCUGAUGGGAAGCCUGCUGCCUGCCGGCCUUGGCAAGGUCCACAAACCUGUUUGGGUUGAAACAUGCCGAUAUCCAGCAGAAUGAGCUGUUAGCCUGGCUGAGACCAUUUCAGCUUAUUGCAUAAGUGACUUAGACAGAUGUUUAACGGAUUUAUGUAAGGCUGGCUGAAGUCAAACACAGGUGUAAGAGAUGAAAGGGGAAUGGGAAAAAUGCACUGCGAAGAUCAUUUUUCCAUUUCUGUGUUUUUUUCCCCUGGCUGUUGAUUCUAUUGCCCUUUCCAUGCAAUUUCUGUGCUGUGAGUCACCAAGAAAAAAAUACACACACACAAAAACCCACUAUUUUUGUUUACUACCAGCAAGGAAUGAAGUUUUACACAAAGCUGUGCUGUAGCUGUACUCACUUCUCCUAUUUCAGCUAUCCGGUUUAUUUCUGCUCCAGCCCAGCUGCAUUUUGCUCCCAAGAUGUGCUGAGCAGACAUUGCCACUCUGAGGAAGGGGAGAAAAUGAAAGGUAGAUCCUUGCUGCAGACUGCUCAUUAUUUGGCCUUCCCAGCGUGCUGUACAUGACAUUUUCGUGCUUGGAUUUGGAAUGUCUCCAGCAGCGACAGCAUAAGCUUUCUCCUCCUGUGGUGCAGUGCUGGUGCUCAGACCAAAGUCGGUCAAGAUGUGGUCCUUCAGGAGCAUUCACCAGCUGAGCAUCUCUUGCAACCUUCUCCCAUGGCACUGCACAAGAAUAUUGUCUGUAGAGACAAAAUAUUGCCUUGCACCAGGUCCUCACCCCCAACCCCAAAUGCUGGGCACCCCCCACCAAGCAGCUUCAGUGGUGAGGAACAGGGAGGAAGGAGCAGUGAGGGCCUUGGGAUGUGCCAAAGUGGGCUUCUGCCAGCCCAUCUAAAACACGUGGACAGUCUCCUCGCUCUCCAGGGGCACACGGCAAUGAAUGCUCCUUGGCAUGCUUCACACAGGUGAUUUAGGCACAAGGCAGGUCUGCAGUACUGAUGAAUAUUUCUAGGGGUAUCUCACCUGUCAAACCAUCCCCAGCAACUGAAGGUAAAACCCAGUGCAUGUUUUUCUGUUGGCCAGUCACUGAAAUGUGUUAGCUGAGGAUGAUGAGAGGGCGUCUUUAGCCCUGGGUAGCCAAGGGAUGGUGUUGCCAUUGUUGCAGUUGGCCAGGCACUGGCGCAGCUGCCCAGGGAGGUGGUGGGGUCACCACCCCUGGAGGUGUUCAAGAACCAUGGAGGUGUGACACUGAGGGACAUGGUCAGUGAGC